AACUAACGCUGGCGGCGUGCCUAACACAUGCAAGUCGUACGAGAAAGUUGGCUUCGGCCGAUGAGUAAAGUGGCGCACGGGUGAGUAAUGCGUGGAUAAUCUGCCCUUUAGUUGGGAAUAACGUACCGAAAGGUGCGCUAAUACCUGAUAAUACUGCAUAACUACUGUUGUGUAGUCAAAGAAGGCCUCUGUUUACAAGCUUUUGCUGAAGGAUGAGUCCGCGUACCAUUAGCUGGUUGGUGGGGUAAUGGCCUACCAAGGCUACGAUGGUUAGCUGGUCUGAGAGGAUGAUCAGCCACACUGGAACUGAGACACGGUCCAGACUCCUACGGGAGGCAGCAGUGAGGAAUAUUGCGCAAUGGGGGCAACCCUGACGCAGCAACGCCGCGUGAGUGAGGAAGGCCUUCGGUCGUAAAGCUCUGUCAGAUGGGAAGAAAUAGGAUGGGGCGUAAUAUCGCCCAUCCUUGACGGUACCAUCAGA
Molecule: ribosomal RNA, 481 nt
Filed under: uncultured bacterium
Lineage: Bacteria
Description: bacterial SSU rRNA
Rfam family: Bacterial small subunit ribosomal RNA
Source: RNAcentral